CAGUGUUGGUGUUGAUGCUGACUUGUCAACAACGCCAUCAUUCUCACUUGUAAUGGAGUCAUCUGUUACACAUCUGAACUAAUAUGGACGGAGGUGCAUAGAGGGCGUCCGUGCCACUUACAACAGUUCAUUCAUCUAUUGACUGCGACGAAUAAUGGUUGCACUUCCCACAUUGCAUCCACAAAGAUACUGCAAAUCUGACUUCUGGUUGUCGUGACUGAAGCAUAAUGAUAACGCUUCAAGAAAAGGCUCAGUGUGUGGAAUGGUUCACUUAGAUCAAAUCGGAAGAAUAGAGUCAAAGGGAACUUCCAGGCACGGUAUCGGAAACACCCACCCUCGCAGACGUCGGUACGCAGGUGGUACAGACGUUUUAUGCACACAGCAAGCGUUGAUUUGAAGCAUAGUGGACGACGUGGAACAAGUGAACCCGAAACAGGAUGGAUACGGUAGGCAUUUCAACGUUCUCCACGGAAGUCUGUUCAGAGUUCAUCGCAGCAGCUGCAAAUCCCUGGAGCGACAGUGCAUCGGGUCCUUCGGCAACGUGUGCGUGUGUAUCCAUGCCGGCUGCAGUUGUUAUAAGUAUUGACACCAGAUUACGAGCCACAACGUAUGCAGUUCGUCGUGGACGUUCUUUACAGUUUAGAGAAGGAUGGAUAUUUUCUAAACAACCUAGAAUUUUCUGACGAAGAAACAUUUCACUUGUGUGGUACGGUAAACAAACACAAUGUUUGCGUUUGGGGCACAAUCAAUCCUCCGCAUACUGUGACGGAUGAAGUACGUUGCCGCCCGAAAGUGAAUGUGUUGUUUGAAGGUUAAUCGCAUUGUGGGACGU
Molecule: long non-coding RNA, 832 nt
Organism: Schistocerca americana (American grasshopper)
Lineage: Eukaryota; Metazoa; Arthropoda; Insecta; Orthoptera; Acrididae
Exons: 3
Source: RefSeq, a predicted model, not a curated record